AAAACAUGUUCAGCACUUUCUGGUACAAUAUUCUCAAAGAACCAGGAUACAUCUUAUUUCUCAAAAUGAAACAAAAAUGUAUUAGACAUUACCCCUGUGAUUUCAAGCCCACAGUCUGUCACUUUGAAGUAUUUGUAUCCUUUUACAAAAGAAAAGCCAAAUGAAGAUCUCCCUGAAAAAAUAUUUUAAUAGAAUAUGUCUUUAUUUCAGUAUCUUAAACAGUGAAGAUGGAGAAAUAUUCAAUAAUGAAGAGCAUGAAUAUGCAUCCAAAAAAAGGAAAAAGGACCAUUUUAGAAAUGACACAAAUACUCAAAUGGCAUGGCUAUUGCACCUUGGGAGAAGCCUUUAAUCGGUUAGACUUCUCAAGUGCAAUUCAAGAUAUCCGAAGGUUCAAUUAUGUGGUCAAAGUGCUGUUGUAGGAGCAAGGGAUACAAUGAUGAUCAAGGCAGAUGCAGCCGUUACCUUCAGGUCGUGGAGUCCGGAUACAGACUGGAGGCAGGCAGCUGUAAGAUGUGUGACAAAUGCUGCGCUGGAUCAGCCCAUGGUAUUAGGAGAGCAGGUAAGGAAGGGUGGGGACGGGAGCGGACAACCUGGAGGAAGAGGCACCUAAGCAGAGUCCAGAAGGCUGAGGAGGAGUCAGCAGGUGAAAGAGAGGGGAAUCAUGGCAUACCAUCUCAACUGUAGGGCACGGCUAGCUGGCUGACUUAGCUGCUGUAACACCGGAUUUUUGCAAGACUCCCUGAGUAUUUCUCGUGGAUUUGCGAACAAAUCUGAGCAAGAAAACCAUGUAAUUUCUUUUAUGCCCUGCCCAAGAAAGCCACCUGGAGGGGCAAGGGGACCUUAGCAGAAAGAAGCUGGAGGUGGGGGGAGAGCAGGGUG
This 879-nucleotide long non-coding RNA is filed under the name Pan troglodytes (chimpanzee). RNAcentral's name for it is "long non-coding RNA NONPTRT008802". Lineage: Eukaryota; Metazoa; Chordata; Mammalia; Primates; Hominidae. The record is from RNAcentral.